Long non-coding RNA from Passer domesticus (house sparrow), 4690 nucleotides. RefSeq lists it as uncharacterized. Lineage: Eukaryota; Metazoa; Chordata; Aves; Passeriformes; Passeridae. The transcript is spliced from 3 exons. The record is from RefSeq and is a predicted model, not a curated record.
AUUGUGCAAUUCAGGGGCCCUGUGGAAGCAAGGGUCAAUGAUCAAACUGUGGGGCCCAUAGAAACAAGGAGCCAUUGUGACACAGCAGGGCCGCAGGGAGCCAAGGGACCAGUGUGACUCUGUUGGAGCUCCUGAAACCAAGAAGCCAUUGUGACAUUGCGAGACUUCAUGGAAUCAAGGAGACCAUUGUGAUGGUGUGGGGACCCAUGAUAUCAGCGGAACAUGGAACAGGUCUGCCUGCUUUGGCCUCCUGGGGCCUGUCUGACAGGUCCCGCUGAAUUUGACAUGUCAAGGGCCACUUCCCAUCUGACUGUGAAGCACUGGGGCUCCGUGCCUUCCUUCCUAUGGAAAAGAACUGUCUUUCUUGUCUAGGCUCCCAUGGCUGAAAUUAGGAUUCCACUCUAAAAUGCCCUAUAUCCAAGGCUUUCUCCCAGACAAAAUCUGCCAAUACAGUCAAGUCUGGCUAGCCUUGGCCUCUGGUGACUGCCUCUCAUCUGCCCCUGGGGCUCGGCUGUUUUCUUCCUGUGGAGACCACUGAGACACUGUGGGGCGUUGUGGAGCCAAAGGGCAUUGUUACACUGCAGGAACUUGUGGAACCAAGGGAUCAUUGCGACACUGUGGGGUCUUGAGGAACCAUGGGAUCAUUGUGACACCGUAGGGUCUUGAGGAACCAUGGAGACCAAUGUGACACUUUGGGGUCUUGUGAAAUGCAGGGGCAUUGUGACACUGCAGAGCACUAUGGAUCCAAGAGACCAUUGUGGCACUGUGGAGCCUCACAGAACCAAGGACAACGCCGUGGCUCUGUUGGGCUUCAUGGUCCCAAGGGGCCAGUGUGAAGCAGCAGGGCUUUGUGGAGCCAAGAGGCCAUUGUUGCAUUUCAGGGCCUCAUGGAGCCAAAGGGUCGUUGUGAUCCUGUGGGGCACCAUGGAUCCAUGGAGACCAUUGUGGCACUGCAAGGCCCCAUGGAAUCAUUGUGACAGUGUGGGUCCCCAGGAAACCAAAGAGUCAUUGUGACCCUGCAGGGCCUCAUGGAGGGAAGGCGUCAUUGUGACACUGUGGGAAGCUGUGGAACCAUUGUUGCACUACUGGGCCCCAACAGAACCAAGGGGCCGUGGUGACACAGCAGGGCUUCAUGAAAUACAAAGACCGUUAUGACACUGUGGGGUCUUUUGGAACCAUGGAGACCAUUAAAAUCCUUAAGGACUUGUGUAACCAAGGGGCCAUUAUGAUGCCACAGGACAUCAUGGAAGCAAGAGAACCACUGUGAUGUUGCGAGACUUCAUGGAAGCAUAGAGCCAUUGUGACACUGCAGGGCCCUAUGGAACCAAGAGAACGCAAAAUAGAUCUGGCUGCCUUGGCCUCCCAGGAGUCAUCUGACAGGUAUCCAUGGGCAAAAUUAGGAUUCCACUUCCAAAUUUCUGUGUAUCCAAGGAUUGCUGCCAGAGAAAAGCUGCCAGGACAGACAGUCAGGGAACCAGAGAGAUUUGUCUCAGCCACCUUCACUGCGACAUCUGGACCCUGAGCAGGGACCCUGACAUUCAGUUGCGUCAGCUGGGGUUAGCUGAGAGAUAGGCCAGCGCUCCUGGGACUGUGGAUUGUGCCCAGUGGAUUUCCCAUCACUUCGAGGGACCUGAGCCAGCAUUUGUGGGGAUGAUGACGGUUUCCUCCUGUGGAGGAUUGCAGGUGGGUUUGGGAAAAUGCAGGACAUUUAUCACCUAUUUUGCCACUGUGUUUUUAAAAUACAGAUCCACAUCCCAUAAUUGAUUUGGGGCGUCCCGGUGCCUGUUCCCCCCAAGGCGGAGAGGGAGAAAAAUGGGUGGUCAGUUGUCCAAAGUAGAAAGGAGCUUAUAUGGACACUUUAAGUUAAUUCUCACUGAUCAUGACAAAAUAUUUUUAAAGAACAAAUUAAAAUCAAUUGUGAGGUGGAUCAUAAAAAAUUUUCCAGACACUUAUGCUGACAAAAUCCAUACCACUGAAUUUUGUGACUCUGGGGGAUUUAAAUUGUACAACUUUUCGAUCAAAAGGGACCCCAUUGCACCCUGCAUGCUCCCCUUCUUCUACACCCUCCUUGAGACCCUUCACCAACAAGAUGUGUGUCGAAAACUUGAUCCAUCAGUCCCUCCUAACCCGGGACCUCCUCUGAAACCUGCCUUUCUUGGACUUUCCAUGAUGGUCCAAGAUGGCAAUGGCCACGCUGUCUUGGAGCAUUGUGCCCUGGAGACCCAGGAUGGAAUAAGCCUGAAUGUGGCUCGGGAGCCUGGCCAUCCUCCCUCCAUCUUGGCUCCUCCACUUCCUGCUACCACAACCUUCUCUUCCACUCUGAACAAACCUCCAGACUCCACCGCCGUGCCUGCAGGUCACGCCUCCACUGUCAUUCAUUCCACCUCCACCCUGGGCCACAGCUCCAGAAAAUGACAAAAUGGCAGAGCCCUUUACUCACCCUCCGGCAACAAUAUAAACCCCAUGGUCAAGGAUACUAGCCAAACUGUCACACUAUUUAUAAUCCAAUUGUUUCUGCUUCAAGUAACUCUUCCAUCCCAGAAGACAGUUUGGAUUCCCCAGAGCCACCUCUCCCCUCAACCCUAGAAGAUCCCUGGGAAAGGAUCUGGAAGGAAGCAGUUCAGGAAGGAGACUGGCAAAUAGUCUUGAAACUCCUCAUUGCCCCAGGACAUGAUGAAAGAAGGGAGCAGAAUCCCAGGUAUCAGCCAUUGGUUUACAGGGAAAUCAAGGAGCUGUGUAGGGCAGCUAAAGACUAUAGGCAGGACUCACCUUGUUUUAAUGGCCUAAUGAGGGCCAUGUUCACAGCACAUGUAACCCCCUAUGAUUUAAAAUAUGUUAUGACCAUGUUUUUAUCACCUACAGAAUACACCCUGUGGGAAAGGGGGAUGGAAGUGUUUACUAAAUCAAUUAAUGGCAGACUAUGCUAAUAAUGAGGCAAGGGCACAAUUGACAAUCAGCCAUCUAGCUGGAGAAGGACAACACAGCCUGCCAGAUGAUCAAGCAGCAGGUAUCCCCAGAGAAGUAUUGGACAAUAUAAAAGAGAUGGCUUUGAAACCUUUAAUCCAGGUACCGGAUGGUAGCACCCCCAGUUUGGACUAUGUAAGCAUAAGACAAGAACCCGGAGAGCCCUGCAUGAAAUUGAUUGAUCGCCUUAAACAGGCACUAGAGAAACAAGUCUGGGAUGAAAAGACUCAAAAUGAAUUACUAAACUCAUUGGGGGUAGCCAAUGCCAACCUGGAAUGUAAGAAAGGGCUGUGUGCCCUUCCACUAGAGAUGGAAACCCCACUCCUGCAGAUGAUUGAGGCUGUAAUUGCCUCAGGACCACAGAAGACAGAGCAGCCGUACAAGCCCAGGCCAUUGGGCAAGGAGUUGCAGAGGCCCUGGUGGCCAUGCCAUUCCCCUUUAAGGGGCCCCAGCAACAAUUACAGGGCCCAAAAAUAUGUUUCUGGUGUGGUCAACAAGGACAUUUUAGAAAAUAUUGUCUCUGGGGUAGGGGGGUUUCCAGUCCCUAACUGAAAUCAACAUCAAACUAAGCAGAAUUUAGCUUUUUGCAAUGGCCCAGUGCAGGUUGGGAUGAUGAUCCACCCUCACAGCUGGCCCAGGGCAGGCCAGGAGUGGCCUUGGUGGCACCUUGGUGGCACCUUGGGCUUGGCACAGCCUUGAGGAUGGUCUAUGUUUUCAACAGAGAAACUCAAGAGUUUUAGAGUGCUUCAAAGAAUUAAAAAGACAAAACCCCUCUUUGGCUGUGUGCAGUCAGAUCUCCAAGCAAAGCAGAUCCCAAGUGAGUGAGGAGAGACAGGAUGGGGAUGGGGAAUGUGGAGCAAGGUUGUCAACACUGGGUCAGAGCUCAAGGCACAGCUACUCUGACCAGGCCAGACCUCCUUAGCAGAAUCCCUGGAUCAAUAUCAGUCACAGAAUACUGCAAUCACCUCUUGUGUAAUAGGAAAAAAAAAAAAAUCCUUGAAAAUAGGAAUACAUAUUUACUAGAAAAUCUUUCAAAUAUUUCUACAGGAGGAAAACUUCCUGAUGAACAGCACUAGAGCAGAGGGAAAUCAAGGCAGAGCCAUGGUUUGUCAGGACUGGCUUGAUGCUAAUAAGGCCCAUGGUGCAUUUGGAGCUGAGCCCUGGAACCUCAGGGCUUCAGAGGAGAUUGCACAAACCUGUCCAAGAGUCAAAGUCAGAAGAAAACCCCAAAGUGUGUUGAGGCAUGAAUGGGUCCCACUAAGGUCCAUCCCCAACACAGGCUUCUCGUGGAGUCCUUGGAGGAGAGAAUUGGAAGCCAGGAUGGCACAAAAACCUCUCAGAGACUCAGUGAGAAAAGGAAAAUUCAAAGUACUUUAAAAACCUUGAGUAUCUCAAAGUAUUAAUGAGCCCCACUGAGUGUCAGUAUGAAGCUCUCAGGGGACUCGUUAAAGCAGAUAAUUGGGGCCAUGAUUGCACAAACCUCUCACAGAGUCUGGAUCAAAAGGGAAACACCAAGUACCUUCAAAUAACUGAAGUACCUUGAAGCAUUAAUGAGCCCCACUGAGUGCUGUUACUGACAAAGCCUCUCCAGGGACUAAUUACACCAGAUAAUUGGAGGCCAAGAUUGCACAAACCUCUCAGAGACUCCAAGGCAAAAGCCAAACCCAAAGUCCUUGGAAAAACCUGCAGUCCCUGUGGGCUAGGGGAGGAUGCUGAGGGCAGGACA